Molecule: non-coding RNA, 258 nt
Organism: Cinara cedri
Lineage: Eukaryota; Metazoa; Arthropoda; Insecta; Hemiptera; Aphididae
Source: the annotation of a GenBank genome assembly
CGCGACUGAAACCCAGCUUCUUCUUUGAGAGAUAUUAUUAUACGAGUUUAUAAACGUUUUAAUUAUAUGGUCCCCGGAUAGUAUCUACGUUUUAAACGGCGUUUUCGGAUUGCCAAGAAUAAUAAUAAAAUACGAGCAUAACACUACCUAUUGAUAUAGUAGUAGUAAUAUUAUAGUAAAUAGCGCUACGAUACUUACGACGGGAACCAGUUGCCGGGAAACACCAGUAUUUUUUCUCUCUACAGGAAUUUAAAACCG